AUACUCUCGGCAACAGAUAUUUUGUCUCUCGCAUCGAUGAAGAACGCAGCGAAAUGCGAUACUUGGUGUGAAUUGCAGAAUCCCGUGAACCAUCGAGUCUUUGAACGCAAGUUGCGCCCGAGGCUAUCCGGCCGAGGGCACGC
RNAcentral lists this ribosomal RNA (143 nucleotides) under Ophiopogon reversus. RNAcentral describes it as "5.8S ribosomal RNA". It matches the Rfam family "5.8S ribosomal RNA". From Rfam's summary of the family: 5.8S ribosomal RNA (5.8S rRNA) is a component of the large subunit of the eukaryotic ribosome. It is transcribed by RNA polymerase I as part of the 45S precursor that also contains 18S and 28S rRNA. Functionally, it is thought that 5.8S rRNA may be involved in ribosome translocation. The record is from RNAcentral. Lineage: Eukaryota; Viridiplantae; Streptophyta; Magnoliopsida; Asparagales; Asparagaceae.